RNAcentral lists this ribosomal RNA (227 nucleotides) under uncultured bacterium. RNAcentral describes it as "partial 16S ribosomal RNA". It matches the Rfam family "Bacterial small subunit ribosomal RNA", at positions 383 to 607 of the family's 1533-position model. The record is from RNAcentral.
CUGAACCAGCCAAGUAGCGUGAAGGAUGACUGCCCUAUGGGUUGUAAACUUCUUUUAUAAAGGAAUAAAGUCGGGUAUGUAUACCCGUUUGCAUGUACUUUAUGAAUAAGGAUCGGCUAACUCCGUGCCAGCAGCCCCGGUAAUACGGAGGAUCCGAGCGUUAUCCGGAUUUAUUGGGUUUAAAGGGAGCGUAGAUGGAUGUUUAAGUCAGUUGUGAAAGUUUGCGG